Molecule: long non-coding RNA, 129 nt
Organism: Anguilla anguilla (European eel)
Lineage: Eukaryota; Metazoa; Chordata; Actinopteri; Anguilliformes; Anguillidae
Exons: 3
Source: RefSeq, a predicted model, not a curated record
AGACAUCAUAUUGGGCACUAGAUGCCACUGCUCAGGGAGGUGUUCAAUAUAAUUCAGAAAGAUUGGCAGUGGAUCAACACCGCCAAGAGAGACAGCCAGCCUUCAGAGCCCGUAGAGGGAAUAAGAAAU